This 684-nucleotide ribosomal RNA is filed under the name Kocuria sp. DS_1S. RNAcentral describes it as "bacterial SSU rRNA". It matches the Rfam family "Bacterial small subunit ribosomal RNA", at positions 751 to 1432 of the family's 1533-position model. Lineage: Bacteria; Bacillati; Actinomycetota; Actinomycetes; Micrococcales; Micrococcaceae. The record is from RNAcentral.
GAGCGAAAGCAUGGGGAGCGAACAGGAUUAGAUACCCUGGUAGUCCAUGCCGUAAACGUUGGGCACUAGGUGUGGGGGACAUUCCACGUUCUCCGCGCCGUAGCUAACGCAUUAAGUGCCCCGCCUGGGGAGUACGGCCGCAAGGCUAAAACUCAAAGGAAUUGACGGGGGCCCGCACAAGCGGCGGAGCAUGCGGAUUAAUUCGAUGCAACGCGAAGAACCUUACCAAGGCUUGACAUUCACCGGACUACCUCAGAGAUGGGGUUUCCCUUCGGGGUCGGUGGACAGGUGGUGCAUGGUUGUCGUCAGCUCGUGUCGUGAGAUGUUGGGUUAAGUCCCGCAACGAGCGCAACCCUCGUUCUAUGUUGCCAGCACGUGAUGGUGGGGACUCAUAGGAGACUGCCGGGGUCAACUCGGAGGAAGGUGGGGAUGACGUCAAAUCAUCAUGCCCCUUAUGUCUUGGGCUUCACGCAUGCUACAAUGGCCGGUACAAAGGGUUGCGAUACUGUGAGGUGGAGCUAAUCCCAAAAAGCCGGUCUCAGUUCGGAUUGAGGUCUGCAACUCGACCUCAUGAAGUCGGAGUCGCUAGUAAUCGCAGAUCAGCAACGCUGCGGUGAAUACGUUCCCGGGCCUUGUACACACCGCCCGUCAAGUCACGAAAGUUGGUAACACCCGAAGCCGGUG